RNAcentral lists this ribosomal RNA (465 nucleotides) under uncultured bacterium. Its description in RNAcentral is "partial 16S ribosomal RNA". It matches the Rfam family "Bacterial small subunit ribosomal RNA", at positions 28 to 507 of the family's 1533-position model. The record is from RNAcentral.
GACGAACGCUGGCGGCGUGCUUAACACAUGCAAGUCGAACGGAAAGGCCCCUUUGGGGGUACUCGAGUGGCGAACGGGUGCGUAACACGUGAGUAACCUUCCCUUGACUUCGGGAUAACUUCAGGAAACUGGGGCUAAUACCGGAUAGGAAUCCUUGCUGCAUGGUGGGGGUUGGAAAGCUUCGGCGGUUUUGGAUGGACUCGCGGCUUAUCAGCUUGUUGGUGGGGUAGUGGCUUACCAAGGCUUUGACGGGUAGCCGGCCUGAGAGGGCGACCGGCCACAUUGGGACUGAGAUACGGCCCAGACUCCUACGGGAGGCAGCAGUGGGGAAUAUUGCACAAGGGGCGGAAGCCUGAUGCAGCAACGCCGCGUGCGGGAUGACGGCCUUCGGGUUGUAAACCGCUUUCAGCAGGGGCGAAGCUUGUGGUGACGGUACCUGCAGAAGAAGCACCGGCUAACUACGUG